Molecule: ribosomal RNA, 266 nt
Filed under: uncultured Alishewanella sp.
Lineage: Bacteria; Pseudomonadati; Pseudomonadota; Gammaproteobacteria; Alteromonadales; Alteromonadaceae
Description: partial 16S ribosomal RNA
Rfam family: Bacterial small subunit ribosomal RNA
Source: RNAcentral
AGUGCCAGCGAUUCGGUCGGGAACUCUAGGAGACUGCCGGUGAUAAACCGGAGGAAGGUGGGACGAUGUCAAGUCAUCAUGGCCCUUACGAGUAGGGCUACACACGUGCUACAAUGGUAUGUACAGAGGGAGGCAAGCUGGCGACAGUGAGCGGAUCUCUUAAAGCAUAUCGUAGUCCGGAUUGGAGUCUGCAACUCGACUCCAUGAAGUCGGAAUCGCUAGUAAUCGCAAAUCAGAAUGUUGCGGUGAAUACGUUCCCGGGCCUU